This 513-nucleotide ribosomal RNA is filed under the name uncultured bacterium. Its description in RNAcentral is "partial 16S ribosomal RNA". It matches the Rfam family "Bacterial small subunit ribosomal RNA", at positions 28 to 523 of the family's 1533-position model. The record is from RNAcentral.
GACGAAUGCUGGCGGCGUGCCUAAUACAUGCAAGUUGAGCGAUGAAGAUUGGUGCUUGCACCAAUUUGAAGAGCAGCGAACGGGUGAGUAACGCGUGGGGAAUCUGCCUUUGAGCGGGGGACAACAUUUGGAAGCGAAUGCUAAUACCGCAUAACAACUUUAAACAUAAGUUUUAAGUUUGAAAGAUGCAAUUGCAUUACUCAAAGAUGAUCCCGCGUUGUAUUAGCUAGUUGGUGAGGUAAAGGCGCACCAAGGCGAUGAUACAUAGCCGACCUGAGAGUGUGAUCGGCAAAAUUGGGACUGAGACACGGCCCAAACUCCUACGGGAGGCAGCAGUAGGGAAUCUUCGGCAAUGGACGAAAGUCUGACCGAGCAACGCCGCGUGAGUGAAGAAGGUUUUCGGAUCGUAAAACUCUGUUGGUAGAGAAGAACGUUGGUGAGAGUGGAAAGCUCAUCAAGUGACGGUAACUACCCAGAAAGGGACGGCUAACUACGUGCCAGCCGCCGCCGUAA